UUACUUACCUGGACGGGGUCAAUGGCCGAUCAAGAAGGGCCAUGGCCUGGGCAUGUGGCUUCCAUUGCACUUAGGAAGGGUGUUUGUCCAUGGUCUCCUCAAGUAGGAGAACCAACGUCAUAAUUUGUGACAGUGGGGGCCUGCGUUCGCGCGGCCCCUG
This is a small nuclear RNA of Humulus lupulus (European hop), 160 nucleotides long. RefSeq annotates it as U1 spliceosomal RNA. The transcript has a single exon. NCBI's taxonomy places the organism in Eukaryota, Viridiplantae, Streptophyta, Magnoliopsida, Rosales, Cannabaceae. The record is from RefSeq and is a predicted model, not a curated record.